ACUUUCAACAACGGAUCUCUUGGUUCUGGCAUCGAUGAAGAACGCAGCGAAAUGCGAUAAGUAGUGUGAAUUGCAGAAUUCAGUGAAUCAUCGAAUUUUUGAACGCACAUUGCGCCCCUUGGUAUUCCAUGGGGCAUGCCUGUUCGAGCGUCA
RNAcentral lists this ribosomal RNA (153 nucleotides) under Ampelomyces sp. HMLAC206. Its description in RNAcentral is "5.8S ribosomal RNA". It matches the Rfam family "5.8S ribosomal RNA". From Rfam's summary of the family: 5.8S ribosomal RNA (5.8S rRNA) is a component of the large subunit of the eukaryotic ribosome. It is transcribed by RNA polymerase I as part of the 45S precursor that also contains 18S and 28S rRNA. Functionally, it is thought that 5.8S rRNA may be involved in ribosome translocation. Lineage: Eukaryota; Fungi; Ascomycota; Dothideomycetes; Pleosporales; Phaeosphaeriaceae. The record is from RNAcentral.